ACAGCUUUGGACAAAAGUCUACAGCCCGUGCAUUUGAAACUCCCUGGCACAGGGGCUGAGUGUCCCUGGGGAGGACAUUUUACUCAUUUGCUCUCCCUUCCCACAGUCAGCUGGCCCUCUUCGCAGGUGUAGAUCACCUAUUAGAGUCCACCUAACUGCGAUAGUCUGCUGAGGAAAGUCCCAGGACUUAGCAGCCGGGGUAGGCCUCACUCAAAGACACCUCU
Molecule: long non-coding RNA, 224 nt
Filed under: Chinchilla lanigera (long-tailed chinchilla)
Lineage: Eukaryota; Metazoa; Chordata; Mammalia; Rodentia; Chinchillidae
Description: SOX2 overlapping transcript exon 1 (ENSCLAG00000020061.1)
Rfam family: SOX2 overlapping transcript exon 1
About the family: SOX2 overlapping transcript (SOX2OT) is a long non-coding RNA, containing at least 5 exons. The SOX2 gene, an important regulator of neurogenesis, lies within one of the introns of SOX2OT. SOX2OT and SOX2DOT (an isoform of SOXOT transcribed from a distal highly conserved element) are expressed in zones of neurogenesis within the brain.
Source: RNAcentral